RNAcentral lists this long non-coding RNA (981 nucleotides) under Volvox carteri. Its description in RNAcentral is "long non-coding RNA (VCAR_LNC003918)". Lineage: Eukaryota; Viridiplantae; Chlorophyta; Chlorophyceae; Chlamydomonadales; Volvocaceae. The record is from RNAcentral.
NCAGCACAAGUAAUAUCCAACCUUGACCGCGGAUCUGGAGCAACCGCUGACGGAAGAGAAGAAAUGAACAAUGAACACAACAUAACACAAAAAUGCAAAAUAUACACGGACAUAAAGUUAAAGAAAUGAAUACGACUUAGCCAGCUUGGCUGCUGGACCGCCAUGCUUGCACAGUCGAACUACCUCGCUCACAUAGACCGCGGUUAGCUGCUUGCAUGAAUAAACAGAAUGGUUCCACCUCACAUAUAUUCGCCGUUGGUGCCUUUCAUCUGCGCCAGCCAAUCUCUUGGCAGUACAGCGGCGACCCACAGGCAGGAUCUGUACCUGUCUCAUUGUGCAUUGCCACUCAUUGCAGCAUCAAACUAACAAGUGUUAUCGUCUUUGUAAUAAUUACCUUACUCAGGAUCAAGAGUCUCUGGCUGUGCUAUAGUUGGCUCCAGCCCGACCCUACUCUCUAACCCCAUAGGCCAAAUCUCUAAAGAUGCUUAAGAGGUAAUAUCACAAUGGAAGCCAAUGAUGAUUUUGUGGGUGGAUUCGGGAUGCAGCCCACGCAGCCGUCGGACAAUAGGCGCAGGAUGCACGAGGUCCAGCUGCAGCUAUGAUGCAGCCAACGAAUGACAAGUGAGUGGCAUCAUCAGCCAUUGCACUGGUUCAUCAGAUGAGCGGUACAUUUUAAACGUGCCCAGCAACGUUUGCAGUGCUGCUGGUGAUAACAGGGUGUUUCCACUUGUCCUAACACUAUCUUCGGUACACUAUGUGCUAGUGUGGACUUAGUGUGACGGUGUUUCCACUAGCGGCACUAAGGAGCGCCGAAACCAAAAUUGUUUUCGUAUUUUGAACGUUUUAGCGCCAGGGAUUAAUUGCUGAUAAUUGCCAAGGUCUGUAAGAAUUCGCGUAUUUAAGAUCCGCUGCGGCGCAGCCUGCGUCAUGAUGUCCGCCAUGAAGUCCGCAUGGUGCAUUGGCAACCGCCGGCCAGCGAAG